This 234-nucleotide ribosomal RNA is filed under the name uncultured soil bacterium. Its description in RNAcentral is "partial 16S ribosomal RNA". It matches the Rfam family "Bacterial small subunit ribosomal RNA", at positions 26 to 288 of the family's 1533-position model. The record is from RNAcentral.
AGAGCGAACGCUGGCGGCAGGCCUAACACAUGCAAGUCGAACGGACCCUUCGGGGUUAGUGGCGGACGGGUGAGUAACACGUGGGAACGUGCCUUUUGGUUCGGAAUAGCUCCUGGAAACGGGUGGUAAUGCCGAAUGUGCCCUUCGGGGGAAAGAUUUAUCGCCAUUAGAGCGGCCCGCGUCUGAUUAGCUAGUUGGUAAGGUAAUGGCUUACCAAGGCGACGAUCAGUAGCU